CUCACAUUGGUUUUGAUGCUGUCACAGGCGAGUUUACAGGGAUGCCAGAGCAGUGGGCCCGCUUGCUUCAGACAUCAAAUAUCACCAAGUCGGAGCAGAAGAAAAACCCGCAGGCUGUUCUGGGUGUAUUGGAAUUUUAUAACUCGAAGAAGACCUCUAAUAGCCAGAGCUUUACAGUUACCUUGUGGGAGAUGGGCUAUGAGUCGUAAUGGAAUACUUGGCUGGAGGUUCUUUGACAUGGAAUACUUGGGAACCCACAUGGAUGAAGGCCAGAUUGGAGCUGUGUGCCAUGAGGUAAGGCCAGAGGCCAGCCAGCCUUGAGCAGGACGUGGCCUCCAUAUCUAUGUAUCUCAAAGUUCUGCACCUCAUGAGAUCUCAGCCUGGGCACUGUAGAGGUGGGAGAAAUUAACUGAACUCCCCCUUCAUUCUCUUAUUACACCUGUUUUGAAAUUUCUAUUAACAUAAUAUUUUAUUUAAUGAUAACUUUAUUU
Molecule: long non-coding RNA, 491 nt
Organism: Aethalodelphis obliquidens (Pacific white-sided dolphin)
Lineage: Eukaryota; Metazoa; Chordata; Mammalia; Artiodactyla; Delphinidae
Exons: 3
Source: RefSeq, a predicted model, not a curated record